UUUGAUGGCGACCGGCGCACGGGUGAGUAACACGUAUCCAACCUGCCUAUGACUCGGGGAUAGCCUUUCGAAAGAAAGAUUAAUACCCGAUGGCAUAGUUCUUCCGCAUGGUGGAACUAUUAAAGAAUUUCGGUCAUCGAUGGGGAGUGCGUUCCAUUAGGUUGUUGGCGGGGUAACGGCCCACCAAGCCUUCGAUGGAUAGGGGUUCUGAGAGGAAGGUCCCCCACAUUGGAACUGAGACACGGUCCAAACUCCUACGGGAGGCAGCAUG
RNAcentral lists this ribosomal RNA (271 nucleotides) under uncultured bacterium. RNAcentral describes it as "partial 16S ribosomal RNA". It matches the Rfam family "Bacterial small subunit ribosomal RNA", at positions 84 to 353 of the family's 1533-position model. The record is from RNAcentral.